GCCAAACAUGAACUUGUCUGAAAUGAAUUAGUGAUGGGGAGCAAUGAGACGAUUCUAAACGUGACAGACAAAUCACAGAGAAAUUGAUCAUAUGUUAUGUCAUUCUACAGAAUUUAAAUAUUUUAUCAUCUUAUUGUAACAUGGCCAACAAUUUUUGUUGUAUUAUUAUGUCUCUCCUAAAGGCCUGCGAAAGCGACAUCAAACGUACUUACACAAAAUAUCAAUACUGUCAAUCAGUCUUAAGGCGUGGCGUUCUCGAGGUAGCCCUUUUUAAUAUGUAUUCAUUUGUACUUCCCGGUGAUAAUACUUUAAAAUGACACAUUUCACAUAGAGUAUUCUGCAGUCUCUUGCAGUGGGUGUCGGUGCUGUGCAGUAGGUGGGGUUACACAACAAGAGCGCAGUGACAACAGGGAAACCUCAGGAAUAGAAAACACCUCUCUACACUCGUGAUCGUCGUGCUCGGUGCCCACACGCGGAAUAUUUCACACUGAGCCUCCCCCCGAUCCUCGCGCUGCUCGCUGGGGGGGAGGAGACCCCUCCGCUCCCUCUCUCUGUCCCCCUGGAGGGUCCCCGAGCCGGAGUUUUGGGAUCAACCAGUAGGUCAUAUGAGGGGAAAAGGAGCGUUUCGUGGUUAGGGCUAAAGAAGAGGAGGAGGAGGGAGGGCGAGGGGAAGGAAGAGGGAGGGAGGGAGGAGAGCGGAGGGAGCAGGUCUGCUUGGGCGGGGUUUCCCUCGUAUUUCAAGUCCGCACAGAAGAGGAGCGGAGCGGGGGAGAGGACGGACCAGCUCCGGCAGCAUGGGAAUGUCGCUGUGGUCGCUGCUUUUUUUUUUUCUUUCUUUCUUUCUUUUUUUUCUUCUUCUUCUUUUAUUUUUUUCCCCUCUGUUCUGGCUUCACGACAUUUUCUCGCCUAUUUUUUUCCUCAAACGUCGUCGCUCUUCUAAUCGCGUUGUGACCAGGCACUGGCUGAGGUAGUAGUUUGUGCUGUUGGUUGGGUUGUGACACUGCCCGCUAUGGAGAUGACUGCGCAAGCUACUGCCUUGCUAGUGCUGGUGCCUCCACUUCAGUCGAGGAAGAAGGAAGGAAAGAAGAGAACAGAAGAGAAAAAAAAAGGGAAAGAAAAGAAAAAGCACAGACUGCUUUCAACGCUCUUAUACUGUUAUAACAGGAUGGAGGAGAAAAGCUCGCUUGUGUUGGAUGGAAAUCCGAUAUGCAAGUUUUUGGGGUUUUUUUAAAUAUAAUUUGUAUGCACAUUUUAAUGUGCACGAGGAAGUCGAUAUCUGGUAUGGAUUUGCAUAGUUUUCCACCACCUCAGGCGGAGUGGGCUGUGUAGAAAGCAUGUAGGUCAACAGUGCUGUUGCUAUGAGGAGAGGAGUGACGUGGCUCCUGCUGCCCACAGAGGUAUCCUACAAUACAUCUGCUCGGAUACGCACAAGCUGGCUUUAUGGCUCUCCCCGACGUCCUUUGUUGAUAAUGCUGCAUACCCUCAGACACUGGGGCAGAUAGCGUGUGCUCCUCCUGCACCUAAACACCCUCUCUACACGCGGGGCAGACGCAAAUCUGUGCAGCGCCUCCGGCACUGUGCACCUAAUAAUCUGAUUAUUAUGCUAAAUCUGGAUGGUGUGUGUGCCUCAGCGCUUGAACUCUAUGGUAUGCACAGACAGACACGCCACAUGACCCAACCCCCCCACGGGCGUUGGAGCAGUGGUGUCCUCACAGAGGUCUGGGAGUGCAGUGCUGAUGUGGGUCAUGCAUUAUGAGUUAACCUUUGAAAUCCUCCCUCUGCUGCCCAGCAGCAUCUGGUUGCUCUGUAUCACAUUAGUAUGGGCAGGCAGGGGUCUCGUGAUGGGGGUGGGGACCGGAAUGGGUAAUGAGCUUUGAUUGGCUGCAGGGGCCGGGCAGCUUGGGUCGAUGAAACCGUGCGGGGACUGCAGUCUUGUGUUCAGACCCCCACACAGCCCAGAUGAUAGCACUCCGCUCACUCGAGCCGACUGAAGAUUGAAUCCUGCGUUUGACCUUCCAAGAAGACACCCAUGAAAUAUUUAUGAGUUCACACUUGAUAGUGUGUCGGGCAGAGUUAUGUUCAUCUUGGGCCGCAGCUCUGCCCACUAGCAUCUGUGCCGAUAUUAAACGAUAAAUUCUGUUCCAGCCGCUCACCGUAGGGAUGCACGUAGGCUGAGGAGGAGAGCAGAGGAUGCUGACUAGUGAAGAAACCACACAGGAUACUUGUAGUUAUCGUGAAGCCUGUUGAGCAAGCCGUCCUACAGGUCAGCCUCACAGAAAUAUUCAAAUGAGUGUCUUGUCUCAUGCAAGAAAUACAAGUAAUCCAGCCCCCGGGGUAAAAACCAAACAUCAUUUAUCAUAUCCUGGCUGUAGAGAGAGCCAGCUUAUGGACCAGUGAGCAGCGUGUCCUCCUCAUCCAUCUUGUGUCAGAGCUCCCAUUUGAGCCGGGGCCGCAGAUAAAUCAUACUUCAGGCAGCCGAAGCCCCCUAAAGCAGUAAAUUAGAGCUCCCUGUGAAAAAAAAAGCUGCCCGCUCAGAUGGGUAUCACAGCUGCACCGCCGAAGCAGCCGCACCCUCGUCCUGACAGCACGGCCGACCCUCACGUGUUCACCAAAUACCUUCACCCGCGUAAUGUGACAUGUUUGGAACUGGAGCCAAAAAUGAUUAGGAGCUGGUGGUCAGGAAAGUAUUCUCCCAAUAAUAGUCAUUUAAAAAGAAGCAACAUGCCAAACAUAGCUGGUCUGAGCGUCUGUAAUUUGAUUUCUGGUUUCUUUGAAAGAGCUCCCACCAGUUCUGCCAAAUAUUUGAUUAAAAAUGUAACCUUGAGAAAUCGGUGAAAAAUGCCAACCACGCUAUCCUCAGGAGAGACGAUUCAGUCCUUACAAGUCUUCUUUCGUCUGACUGACAGUUAAAAACCCAGAAAAGCCCAAGUAACUUUAAUAUAAACCAAAAAAAGGCAACAGAUUCUCACUCUUAAGAAGCUUCAAAUGACUUAAGCGAUGGAUUGGCCAAAAUCAGCAGCCAAUUCAUUUGCGUUUAAUCAAUUGUUGCAUCUCUAAUUGUAAAUGUGAUUUUCUUUGGGUUUUGAAAUGUUGGACAAAACAAGACGUAUGAAGACCUCGGCUUGGGCUCUGAGAGUCGUGAUGAACAUUUUUCACAAGUAUUUGACAAUUUGUUGAACUGAAACAAACUCUUUGAAAACAUUUGGCAACUAUUUUGGUAAUAGAUUCUAGGGUGUGACGAUAUAUCUGUUGGUCGAUAUUGGCAAAUGUGACACAAAUGUGCCAAUAUGACCAGACAUGAAAAGAUGUGUGCGCUCAUUUGUAUUUAUUACAUUCCCAUUGAAGUCUGUAGAUUCAGUGCACUGAUGUCAGUUUGGACAAUAAAGUUUAUUACUGAAUUAUAAAA
Acanthopagrus latus (yellowfin seabream) is the source of this 3406-nucleotide long non-coding RNA. RefSeq lists it as uncharacterized. The transcript has 2 exons. The record is from RefSeq and is a predicted model, not a curated record. Lineage: Eukaryota; Metazoa; Chordata; Actinopteri; Spariformes; Sparidae.